CCGAUCUCACACAUGAGAAAAGAAAACUUCUUCUUCUCCCAUUACAGUGGACCUAUUUUCUUUGUCUCCCAUCUUUUUACCAGCAGAUCAAAUCAAUCCAUCGUCUCACCCUCUCUCAGAUCAUCAACUCAUCACCCAUGCCUCUAUUACCAUCUUUUCCCUUUGUCAAACUAGUUGCGUGCCCUUUCUAUCCUCAUCCAUUUCAGUCAAAACCCUAGGCUAUGAAAUACAAAAUUAGGUCGUAUGACUGCUUUUCAAAAGUGACAGAAUUGAAAGCUAGAGGUUUGAAUUUGUUUCCCCUUUUCAGACACCAACAAAGACAGCAAGGAAGUGAUAAGAUUAUGGUGGUUGUUUAUAAUGAAGUUUAUCCACAAAUUGGGUUAGUCAAAGACAAGGUCAGGCGUGAAAGCUAGGUCUGAAUUUUCAGUUCUCUACAACAUCAACAUCAAUCAAUUGAUGAAGAUAAGUCCAGUGGAUACAUGUGAAUGAAGAGUGCUUGGUGGUACCUGUGGUGAUGCUAUUCAAGUCAAGGUUAGGAGUGAGAGGAGCGAAACAACCUGUGUGUUGUGCCUAAACCCGGUCUUAUACCGGCAGUAUCGUUCCUCAACUUUAAUAUUCUUGUCUUGAAUGAUACACCAUCUUUGCAUGCAAACUGAACUAGCUGCUAAGCAUUGUCAAACCCCCUGCAACAUAAAACAUCUUUGUGCAUCUGUGACAUUUGAGUAACCUAUUUGCUAGCUGAAGUUAUUAUUCA
Long non-coding RNA from Papaver somniferum (opium poppy), 754 nucleotides. RefSeq lists it as uncharacterized. The record is from RefSeq and is a predicted model, not a curated record. The transcript has 2 exons. Lineage: Eukaryota; Viridiplantae; Streptophyta; Magnoliopsida; Ranunculales; Papaveraceae.